GAUGAACGCUGGCGGCGUGCCUAAUACAUGCAAGUAGAACGCUGAAGGAAGGAGCUUGCUCUUUCCGGAUGAGUUGCGAACGGGUGAGUAACGCGUAGGUAACCUGCCUGGUAGCGGGGGAUAACUAUUGGAAACGAUAGCUAAUACCGCAUAACAGUAGAUGUUGCAUGAUAUCUACUUAAAAGGUGCAAUUGCACCACUACCAGAUGGACCUGCGUUGUAUUAGCUAGUUGGUGAGGUAACGGCUCACCAAGGCGACGAUACAUAGCCGACCUGAGAGGGUGAUCGGCCACACUGGGACUGAGACACGGCCCAGACUCCUACGGGAGGCAGCAGUAGGGAAUCUUCGGCAAUGGACGGAAGUCUGACCGAGCAACGCCGCGUGAGUGAAGAAGGUUUUCGAAUCGUAAAGCUCUGUUGUAAGAGAAGAACGAGUGUGAGAGUGGAAAGUUCACACUGUGACGGUAUCUUACUAGAAAGGGACGGCUAACUACGUG
RNAcentral lists this ribosomal RNA (497 nucleotides) under uncultured bacterium. Its description in RNAcentral is "partial 16S ribosomal RNA". It matches the Rfam family "Bacterial small subunit ribosomal RNA", at positions 28 to 507 of the family's 1533-position model. The record is from RNAcentral.